UCCCUGGAGGACUAGUGGUUAGGCCACAGCACUCUCACUGCUGCGGCCCGGGUACAAUUCCCGGUCAGGGAA
RNAcentral lists this transfer RNA (72 nucleotides) under Pangasianodon hypophthalmus (striped catfish). It matches the Rfam family "tRNA". From Rfam's summary of the family: Transfer RNA (tRNA) molecules are approximately 80 nucleotides in length. Their secondary structure includes four short double-helical elements and three loops (D, anti-codon, and T loops). Further hydrogen bonds mediate the characteristic L-shaped molecular structure. tRNAs have two regions of fundamental functional importance: the anti-codon, which is responsible for specific mRNA codon recognition, and the 3' end, to which the tRNAs corresponding amino acid is attached (by aminoacyl-tRNA synthetases). tRNAs cope with the degeneracy of the genetic code in two manners: having more than one tRNA (with a specific anti-codon) for a particular amino acid; and 'wobble' base-pairing, i.e. permitting non-standard base-pairing at the 3rd anti-codon position. The record is from Rfam by way of RNAcentral. Lineage: Eukaryota; Metazoa; Chordata; Actinopteri; Siluriformes; Pangasiidae.